Molecule: long non-coding RNA, 1846 nt
Organism: Osmia lignaria (orchard mason bee)
Lineage: Eukaryota; Metazoa; Arthropoda; Insecta; Hymenoptera; Megachilidae
Source: RefSeq, a predicted model, not a curated record
AUUGCGGCUUCGUUAAAUAAAAUGUAUACAAUACAAAUACAUCCCAAACCAAUUCCACCAUCCCACCAUUGUGAGACACGAUGAUGAUGAUGAUGAUGAUGAUGAAGUGGAUAACGAUUCUAGCAUAUCUGCAAUAACAAAAUGUAAGAAAAAAGAAAAAUCGCAUGAACUUAAAUCAAGUUCUGGUUUUGAUGAAUCAAUCUAAUCUCAAAGACGAUCUACUGUAAAUCUAUCUACGUCAAGUGUAAGAUCAAUCCGAAUCGAUUUAGCAUCGCCGCGUCCGAAGAAAAAUAAACAGGCUGUAACACCAGUAUGUUCUCCAAAAAUAUCUUCAGUUAUCUCAGUUUAACUAAGGCUAAAAAGGAAAGUAUAAUAAAUAAGUACAUGCAAAUCGAUUUUUUAAUUAUUUUAAUAAAAAUAAUGAUAAAAUACCUUUUGCAGUGUAUCUAUUUUCUUAACUGCACCAAAUGGUAAAGACAGUUAAAAAAUGGACUUUAUUAGAAUUUUAAUUUAAUUUGACUUACUUAAUUAUUUUUGACCCUAAGUUUUUAUCUCACAGUAUUAUCGUGUUCAUUGAUAAUUAGUUUUAAAAAAUAUUUAUUUAGAUGAAAAUUAUAAAUACGUAAAGUAACAGUUAGAUGGUUGAUGGUACUAUAUUACAACAUAGUAUCUUUAUAUAUAUAUAUAUAUCACAUUUAAAAGAUUAAACAGAAAUUAAUGUAAUUAAUUACAUUAAAAUGUUUUACAGUUUUCUCCUAUUACUGUAAAAUAAGUUCAUACAUUUAUGUAUGCUAGCUGAACUAUAAUGGUAAUUAGGACACUGUAUUUUAUUAUGCAUUUGUAUACAACAGAUACACUGUAUGACACUAUUACUCUGUGAGAAAGACUAGUGUAAAAAUCUUGUAUAUUAACAGAUGUUUGACACGUGUAUCACUAAUAUCGAAACAGAUUUGUAAAAUUUAGUUAUCGUUAUACCAAAUCACGACUAAUGCUACGUUUAAACGUCAUAGAACGUACUUCGGUUCCAGGCUUUCCUGAUUUACAAGAAUUAGAAGCAUUAGGAUUAGGAGUAGGACUUUGAGAAAGAGAUGCUCGUUCAUCGUUAGUACUAGAUUUUUCACGUUCUAAUCUUUGUUUACUAAAUUUUCCCAUUCCUGGGCGAUAAAUUUCCAUGGCAGGACGAUCCUGUUAACAUUUCUUUUUUUUAUUAAAAAUAUUCUAGAAAUGAAAUUUUUGUAAUACGGUAAUAAUAAUAAAAAUAUACCUUAUUUCGAAUCCUACGUUCUAAUCGAGGAUCUUUCUUGUCUUUUUCUUUUUCUUCGAUUUCAGUCUUUUGUAAAUUAUUUUGAUCCCCACCAUCUAAAGACUUGUGUCGCCUUAAAUAAUUCCCAUCUCCUGUACCACCUUCUCCCCCACUUUCAAGUGAACUACGCCUCUUUGUAACUUUCGAAUCUUUCUUUUCCUGAGAAUCAUCAUUCUCGUUACUAUCUUUAUUAAUAUUUUCAUUAGAUUUUGAUUUUUCAAUAUCUUUAUUACUUUCAUCUAUCGUUGAUGUAGUUUCUGUAAAUAAUUUAAUAAACAUUAUUAUAAAGAGUCGACAAAUAAUUAUCAAUAUCUCUGUUUGAUACCUGUUUUCUUCUGCUCUUUCAUUUGUUCAAUAUCUUGGAUAGAAUUUUCUAGUAAAAGCUUGUUUUCAUUAUUUUCCUGUUUCUCUCUGAUUUUAGUGACUUCAGUAUCACUUACGGAUCCCCCUCUGUCUUUAUUUUCAUGUAAAUCAACUUGGGACUCUUUUCUUGGAAAAUCUUCGUCUUCAAUUCUUGACUUUAUGCUACUUUCCAUAUCAACA